Molecule: ribosomal RNA, 496 nt
Filed under: uncultured bacterium
Lineage: Bacteria
Description: partial 16S ribosomal RNA
Rfam family: Bacterial small subunit ribosomal RNA
Source: RNAcentral
GUUGAACGCUGGCGGCAUGCCUUACACAUGCAAGUCGAACGGCAGAGGGGCAACCCUCGAGAGUGGCGAACGGGUGAGUAAUGCAUCGGAACGUGCCCAGUCGUGGGGGAUAACGUAGCGAAAGCUACGCUAAUACCGCAUACGACCCGAGGGUGAACGCGGGGGACUCGCAAGGGCCUCGCGCGAUUGGAGCGGCCGAUGUCAGAUUAGGUAGUUGGUGGGGUAAAGGCCUACCAAGCCGACGAUCUGUAGCUGGUCUGAGAGGACGACCAGCCACACGGGGACUGAGACACGGCCCAGACUCCUACGGGAGGCAGCAGUGGGGAAUUUUGGACAAUGGGCGCAAGCCUGAUCCAGCCAUGCCGCGUGCGGGAAGAAGGCCUUCGGGUUGUAAACCGCUUUUGUCAGGGAAGAAAUCUUCUGGGUUAAUACCUCGGGAGGAUGACGGUACCUGGAGAAUAAGCACCGGCUAACUACGUGCCAGCAGCCGCCGUAA